UGGUGAUGUUGCAUUGAACUCUUUUG
RNAcentral lists this non-coding RNA (26 nucleotides) under Homo sapiens (human). Lineage: Eukaryota; Metazoa; Chordata; Mammalia; Primates; Hominidae. The record is from RNAcentral.